Molecule: ribosomal RNA, 254 nt
Filed under: uncultured bacterium
Lineage: Bacteria
Description: partial 16S ribosomal RNA
Rfam family: Bacterial small subunit ribosomal RNA
Source: RNAcentral
UACGAAGGGGGCUAGCGUUGCUCGGAAUCACUGGGCGUAAAGCGCACGUAGGCGGACUCUUAAGUCGGUGGUGAAAUCCUGGAGCUCAACUCCAGAACUGCCUUCGAUACUGAGAGUCUCGAGUCCGGGAGAGGUGAGUGGAACUGCGAGUGUAGAGGUGAAAUUCGUAGAUAUUCGCAAGAACACCAGUGGCGAAGGCGGCUCACUGGCCCGGUACUGACGCUGAGGUGCGAAAGCGUGGGGGAGCAAACAGG